Trichobilharzia regenti is the source of this 46-nucleotide non-coding RNA. The record is from Rfam. NCBI's taxonomy places the organism in Eukaryota, Metazoa, Platyhelminthes, Trematoda, Strigeidida, Schistosomatidae.
GUACUGCUGAAGAAUCCCAAAGUAGGACGAAACAGCUGUCCAGUAC